CAGCGCCCGCCUCCACGUCCGGCCCGCCGCUCGCGCCGCUCAUCUCCGCGCAGCUCAAGUUCCUCCUCUCCAACCCCAGUCUCCCCGUCAAGCUAGGGCAGAUCUGGUCCGGCUGCCGGAACGGCCGCUACGCCGAUCGCUUCACCCUCGCCAUCCCCUUCUGCCUCGACUACGUCUACUGGGAUUUCCUCUAUAAUGCGCUGUACCCGAAGGUGGCGCCCGACGUGGUGUUCGGGCCGGGUGACGAAGACUUCCAGCCGCUGGUCGAUUAUGAUGACGCCGGGAAUGGGGACAAGAGCUGCUUGGCACGAUGGGAUAUCCGC
This is a long non-coding RNA of Lolium rigidum, 323 nucleotides long. RefSeq lists it as uncharacterized. The record is from RefSeq and is a predicted model, not a curated record. Lineage: Eukaryota; Viridiplantae; Streptophyta; Magnoliopsida; Poales; Poaceae. The transcript is spliced from 3 exons.